UAGUACGAGAGGACCGGGGUGGACGGACCGCUGGUGUGCGGGUUGUUCCGCCAGGAGCAUCGCCCGGUAGCCAUGUCCGGACCGGAUAAGCGCUGAAAGCAUCUAAGCGCGAAGCCGACCUCAAGAUGAGACUUCCCACCGGGUAACCGGGUAAGACCACAGGAAGACUACCUGUUUGAUAGGCGCCAGGUGUAAGCACAGCAAUGUGUUCAGCUAAGGCGUACUAAUGGUCGAGGGCUUGACCAA
This 246-nucleotide ribosomal RNA is filed under the name Dehalococcoidia bacterium. RNAcentral's name for it is "partial 23S ribosomal RNA". It matches the Rfam family "Bacterial large subunit ribosomal RNA", at positions 2679 to 2925 of the family's 2925-position model. Lineage: Bacteria; Bacillati; Chloroflexota; Dehalococcoidia. The record is from RNAcentral.